UGGGGAAUAUUGGACAAUGGGGGCAACCCUGAUCCAGCCAUGCCGCGUGCAGGACGACGGCCUUCUGGGUUGUAAACUGCUUUUAUACAGGAAUAAAAAGGCCCUGCGGGGCAAAUUGCAUGUACUGUAUGAAUAAGCACCGGCUAACUCCGUGCCAGCAGCCGCGGUAAUACGGAGGGUGCAAGCGUUGUCCGGAUUUAUUGGGUUUAAAGGGUGCGUAGGCGGUUAUUUAAGUCAGUGGUGAAAACCCUGAGCUCAACUGAGGGCUUGCCAUUCAUACUGAAUAACUUGAUUACCGUAUAGGUAGGCGGAAUUUAUGGUGUAGCGGUGAAAUGCAUAGAUACCAUAAAGAACACCGAUAGCGAAGGCAGCUUACUGGACGGAGAAUGACGCUGAUGCACGAAAGCGUGGGUAGCGAACGGGAUUAGAUACCCCCGUAGUCC
Molecule: ribosomal RNA, 443 nt
Filed under: uncultured prokaryote
Description: bacterial SSU rRNA
Rfam family: Bacterial small subunit ribosomal RNA
Source: RNAcentral